Micropterus salmoides (largemouth bass) is the source of this 430-nucleotide long non-coding RNA. RefSeq lists it as uncharacterized. The transcript is spliced from 3 exons. NCBI's taxonomy places the organism in Eukaryota, Metazoa, Chordata, Actinopteri, Centrarchiformes, Centrarchidae. The record is from RefSeq and is a predicted model, not a curated record.
CUGCUUGUGAUUUGCUGAUGCGAGUGCUGUCACAGCUGUUAUGGCCUGCAGCGCAAGUUUAAUACCCCUAAGCCUGCAGCGUCGCCGGGCGGUGUCCUGUAUGCACGCGACAUUGCUCUCGGUCUGUGUGAGCGAAUCGUUGCUGUGCGGGCUGUCUCGAUCUGGCCUGUGGCUGAUUAUGUGUGUGCGCUGGGGAACCGUGGGGUGAUCUGCUGCACUGCUGCCUCGGCGGGGGGUUUGAACGGCGGCUCGGUCUGUCUUUCUCGUGCCUCGGCUUUGGGUGUCGCUCUCUCCCCCUGUGGGAUUGCCCUCUGCCUGGUCGGCCCAGUUCCGGCUGUGUCUUGGCUCUAAGCGGGUUGCCGGUUAGACGUAUUUAAAUAGAAUCACAUCCUCGUCUUGCUACACAAGCAAUUAAAUCCUUUAUACAAGA